GAGAGAUCAUCUCUCUGAGCAAUCUCUGACGUUUGCUCAGCAGUUUUUCCAGCUGGUUGGUGGCUCAGCUAGCGAAUGUGACACCAUCCCUGGCAGACAGUGCAUGGCUUCUUGUUUCUUUCUGCUCAGGCAGUUUGAGGAUGUGCUCAUCUACCUCAACUCUGUCAAGACACUCCAACACUCCAAUUGAGUCCGCCAGAUCAGAGG
Salvelinus sp. IW2-2015 is the source of this 207-nucleotide long non-coding RNA. RefSeq lists it as uncharacterized. Lineage: Eukaryota; Metazoa; Chordata; Actinopteri; Salmoniformes; Salmonidae. The record is from RefSeq and is a predicted model, not a curated record.